GCAGUUUGACGCAAGAACUGAAGGCUAUUGAUGUCACUUUCUUCAAACAGUUCUGCUGACCCCUUUUUACCAUAGCUGCAAUUAUUCAGAUUUUGACACCACCUCUUCCUGCGCUCUAGGAUGGAAGUCUCUCAAGAUCUUUCCUGAUAAUACUGAGGAAGAUGUCAUUAGCAGGAGAUGCUGCCUAGCAUGAGACUACACUCUCAUGAGACUACAUGGUCUGGUCACUGGAAUCAGUCCGUCUGUAGCUCAGUGACAAAUGGCAGCUAAAAAGAAAAGAGGAGAAUGUAAUCAAUCUUCCCACCUUUAAAAAUAGUGAAAAAAAGGAGAAAAACUAAACUACUUUAAAACCUCAUUUGAGAUGAACAAUUAUCUGCAAGAUAAGAUGAAAAAUGGAGGACCAGGGGUGAAAUCAUAGGCUGAGUGAUGUCAUGGAAAUAAUGUCCUUAGAGGAGGACUUCAUGCCAAAACCCAGGAGCAGACAGAUUUCUGAGAAAGAUCUUGAUCAUCAAUAACUCCUUCUAAUUCAGUGGAAAUCACAGGUGGGCACUCGAUAUUUUGAAACUCCCUUGGUAUGCUCAGUACUUUGAAACUCCCUUGCUAUGUUAUCUUUCCUGUUCUAUUUCUGUCUGCUUUUUAUUCCUGUAUUGAUUUUAAUGGACUUCAAUUAAGGUCUCUUGUCUCAGAAUCUUUAGUGCUUUAUUUAUACAGAGCACAGACUGCUUUCAUUUUUUCCCCCCUCGGAAUCCUUAAAGCACUGGAAUUUUUAUUUAUUUUUUUCCCACUGGUAUAUUAUUUUAAUUGGGAUAAAUUUAGAAGCAUUUAGAUACCUUUCAAACCAUCUGUAGUUUCACUGAUGCGUAAUGACUUUAUGGAUAUAUUUUGAUAAUUGACAUUUUAUUUCUUGCCAUCCGAAUGAUAUUAAAAAAGUUCAGAUUUGGUUAAAACUGUAUUUUAGUCUCGAAGAAAUUCAUAAACCAUUCCAUCACUAGCUACAGCAAAUGGUACAAGAGUUUUAGAUCAGGAGAACAUAAUUCCCUAUUCAAUAAUUAACAUCACUUCUUCCUCCUCACAUUUCACAUUUAUGGGAAUAUAGCUUGAAUUUUAAGAUUAGCACCUCUGUCUACUGCCAACUCCUCCCCUCAUCUUUCCAACCACUGUAAAUCUUCACUACCCACUGCCAAUGAAGCACAAUAUCAAUUAUGUACAAAUAAAUCUAUGUAAAACCACUGCACAAUUUCCUUCUUGAAAAAGCAAGGGCAAUCACAAUCAGCAUCAGUAACCAGAAUCUUUGGAAGAGAAUAUUUUCAUUCAAAAUUAUGUUCUCACUAAUUGGCUAGAUUUCCACUGUCACUCUGGUAUGUUAUGUAUAUCUGAGGGAUGGAAUUGCCCUCAGAGACUCCAAGAGUGGCUUUCAGGGAAUAGAGAUCAAUGAAGCAGAGUCUUGCUGUGGUCAGAGUUUGACUUACUUUGUACAUAUGCACAUCAAUCUCAUAAUAAAGUCAUAAGCAUGCAAUCUAUGAUCCUUUCUUCUAUAAACUUUAACCCAUGUACCGCAGUUCAGUUCCCAGAAAGCUAUUCUAUCUUGGGAACUGCCUUGAAAGAUAGAGAAUAAAAUGAAAGAACAUGUUCUCAGCUAUCUGACAAUUUCUCUCAAAGGAUUGCUCUUCAGGAGAACAAAGGAUAACAGAGUAUUUUCUAGACAAAAUCUCUGCUUUUCCUUUUUCCUUUUAAAUAAACAAACAAAUAAAUAAAAAUUAUCUAGUACCUCCUACUGUGACAUGAUAAAUCAAUAAUACUUUUCACAGAAUGACAGUGGAAACAAAUAUGUCUAUAAUCAAGUUCCUCCUUAGUAUUUAAAACCCACUCUCUCACAUGCAUCUGCAUGUUAAAAUUGGAUAACCUAUUCUUCAUUAUACCUCAGAUGACUGAAGUGGUUUUACAGGCACAGAAAGUUUCUUCCACCACAGAAAUGAAUUUUCUUUUGGUAAUAUUAUUGUGUAUAAAUCACCCCUUCCACAACAAAUUUUAACCUCAUGCUCCUCUUCUUGGUAACCUACCCAACAAAACCUGUGGCUAAACUUCAUUUUCCUUGAUGUGUACCUAUCUAGUGGCCAGGAAAAAAAUGGACCUCUGUGCCAGUAUGCUAUAAAAGAACAUAAAUUAAAAAAUUCCUAGGUCAAGACAACUUCCCUUAUUUCCUCUUUAACAUCCCGUGCCCUAUAGUGCUGGCACAGCUGAAGAGAAGGUGUGGAGCAAGACUGCUAAGUGAGCACCAUGCCAUCAAACCAAAGGACUCUGUUGGACACAAUCUGUAUUUCUGGUUAGAAAACCAGCACCAGCUCCUGAAUCUUCAAGAGAGAACAUUUGCUUUUUGGAAGUCCACUUUAUCCACUCAAUUUGCCGAUAGAUAAAGCUCCUUCAACACCACCUCUUAUCUCCCAGCAAGGCAAAGGUAGCUUUAAACACCACAGACUUUUAGCAGCAUAAUACAUUUCCAGGAGCAAUAGCCCACAUCUUUAUUCAUGGUGUGAAUGAUGAUCUGAGUAGUAAUAAUGAAAUAGGGUGGCAAAGGUUUUCCAUUGUGAACUAGUAUUAAUCUAAUUUCCUACAGGAUGCUUGUCUAAGUCAGAAAAAAAGCAAGCAGUUUAAAAUUCUUUGGCAAGUCCCUGAUGAAGAGUAGCCUGGGAAGUGUUAAGGAUUGCUGGAGAAUGCUAAAUUACAUUCACUCAGCUCUACUGAGAAGGCUAAGCUGAUUUUGGCAGGAUUUUCAUAGUAUAUAUCCAUUGCAAAUUGGCUUCUUAUUUUUAGGAAUAUUAAGAGUUAUCAACAUUAAAAAAAUCCAGCAAUGAGCAUUGAAGGCUUUUGGAAAUGAAUAAUGACAAUUCUACCAUACUGUAGAUUUUUACAUAAAUAUGACAAAUGAAGGGUUUUUAAAAUUAUUAAAUAUGAUAUUAUUUCAGACCAAGUAGGCAUUUUGUGGCUGUGUAUGUCAAAAAAAAUUCUUCACCUGGUUUUAAUGGCCAGCUGUUUCCAAUAUACAGAAGAGGCAUCGGCUGCCUACUGUCAUGAACCCAUUUAGAAGAUGGCAGCAGAGCAGCUUCUUCCUGCAGUUCCCUUUCCAUUUGAAUGCAAUUUCUCUGUUUUACCAGUAUAGAACACAGGUGCUGCUGGUUACGGGUUGUGUCUUUAUACUUCACAAUGCUUCCAGAAAUGAUGGAGCCCAACUGGUUCCACUUCCAUGGGGACAGGUUUGAGUCUUUCCCAGAAAAAGGACAGGUUGAUAGCUGGACUAAUUAAUCUUAGCUGUUUUUCCAACUUUGAUGAUUCUAUGAUUCUAAAUAUCAGCUUCUUGAACUCUUCUUACAAUUCCUAACAGUAUUUUUGCUAUCUUCCCCACUGAGACUGCUUCUAAUGCUAAGGAAAUUAAUAAUUAAUAAUUUUUUUAAUGGCAAUGAGCCUUUCCACAUAGGCGUACCAAAGGGAAGGUUGUUUACUGUUCCAGUUCUGCUUUGUACUUUGGUACAGCCUAAGCUGGUGCCGGUGCUGGAAGAUAUGCAGGGCCACGCUGGAAAGCCAGGCAUUUGGUCCUGGGCCAAGCUCUCCUCCACCUGAGCCCAAUGCAGCUCAAUGUUGCAGUUUUAGUUAACCCACUUCUUCCAUUCCCCACUCAGCUUCACAUGACAACCAGCCCAACUGAGCAGCACAUAGAAAAACAUCACUUUGGAUAUCACUUCCCCUGCUAACAGAAUCCCUGCCUCAGUACCAGGGCAAACUGUAAUGCCAGCAUUGAGAUGCAACCAGCCCCGUCUGUUCUCUGAGCCCAGCCCUCUCUCAAGAAGCCUUGAUCCAUCCAUAAAUGUGUGAUCAUCAUCUGAGAUUGAGCAUCUCACCAGCCCGGUCUGGCUCUGCCCACAGAAAUGUUGCACAGUGCGUCUCAGCCAGGAGCAGUUCCCACCGCUUCCCAUCAAAGCAUCCUCCCAUCAACAGAGGAGCUGAGAGCAGAGGAAGAGCACCUUGAUGUAAAAUAAUAGAAGCUCUUUUUGCUCCACUCCUCAGACUGUUCUGCACUUCUUUCAGGCAGGAUGAGUCCUGCCGUUUCACUGCAAAUGCUCUGUAUAGAAAGUAUAUGUACAUUAAAUUGCCUCUGUGACCAUGUUUGACUCCUGCUCUACAAAUAAAUGGGAGUAGAUAGAUAGCUGCCUUCCCUCAGGAACUUCUGUCUGCAGAAAACUGUGGAUCAUUGAGAUAUGCAGAUGAAACAUCUCUUUCCCUCCACCAAGAUAUGAAAGCAGAGAGCUCCUUCCCCUUCUGAGCUUUAGGCCAAGGGGCUCCGACACACACCGAGCAAAUGGGAAGAUGUGUGAUUAGGUAACUUCCAAACUUCAGAAACAUUUCCAUUUCAAAUUCUGACUUCCUGCAAUGCACAUACUCUUCUGUAACCAGGCUCCGAGGCAAUUUAUUAACAACUCCAGAGGAGUGAUAUCUGCAGAAUCUGUUUUUCAGUUUUUGACAGCUGAGCAGGGCUAAUAUUCCUGUUCCAGACUGCCAUCACGGGAGCAGUGCAUAUUCUGUAUAUUCAACAAAGAAGUGUCCUUUGAAGGUGUAAAUGAAAUAGCUUAUCUGAAGUAGAGAUAAAAAAUCAAUUUAAAACAUUUUAGAUCGUUUAUCAGCACGUAAGAAAAAAUAAACAAGAUUGACCAGACUUUAUUAAAAAGGUUUUAAACCGCAAACUACCAGGUUGCAUUUCCUGUUCACUAAAUUAAGCAUUUCAGUGGAUAGCA
Coturnix japonica (Japanese quail) is the source of this 4784-nucleotide non-coding RNA. The record is from RefSeq and is a predicted model, not a curated record. NCBI's taxonomy places the organism in Eukaryota, Metazoa, Chordata, Aves, Galliformes, Phasianidae.